AUAUGAAAAAUACUUAUCAUUCAGAACUGUGAAAAAGAUAACAAAGAAUUGCAUGCAAUUACUCACAGCUAGGUUUCUUUCAAUAUGAGGCUGCAAGUGAUGAACAAAACAAAACAAAAGGAAAACAGGGAGAAAUACAUGGACACGAAGAAAGAAGUAGUUUGAGAAAUGUCAUUCUGUAUUCCUAACCAAAGAGUGUCAGUAGCAUGAAAUACUCCUGUCCCUUAAGUGAUGCAAACAUUAUAUGCCAACUGAAGUUUUCUUUGUUGUCACGUUAAAAUUUAAACUGAUGAGCAACAAAUAUCAGAGAAAUGCAUAGAUGUAACUUACAGAAAAAUGAGGUUGCUUCAAAUAUUUCAUCAUUCUUCCUCACUUCAGUUUUAUCCUUUUAUUAAUUUUUAUUUAUUUUAUUUUAUAAUGAUUGAGAAAGGGAAAGGGGAAAUAUAGCAUAUGAAGAAAGAAGCAUAAAUUCCUUCACCCAGGGUAGAAGAAUUUACAAAUUAUUUCACUGAUAUCUGUAUUUCCAACCUUCCUUUUUACCUUUUAAAUCAUAAAACCUUCUUUUUCCCAGUUGACAAUGCUAUUUUAAGAGAUCCGGACACAAAUCUAUUUUUGCAAGUGGAGAAUUGUCACAGGAGCAAGAUCUUUUAACUUGUUCUCACUUUUCUCUCCUUUCCUUGUUCUCUGUCAUCAAAUCUUCUCCUCAUAAAAAUGUUCAAAGACAAAAAUAUUAUUGAAUUCUACAAGAAAAUCUAAAAUAUUUCUAUAUCUGCUUACACGUCACCAUAGUGUAAUCCACUGAACUUCCAAAACCCUAAUGGCAACAAUUAUUCCAUGUAAAGGGUGAUAAUUCUACAGUGUUAACAGCAAUAUAUGUCAAAGCAAAUAAUUUUCAGAUGAUUGAAAUUGCCUGGACAUUUCGGAAUGAACCUAACAGAAUUGUUCAACACCUCAUUAGGUACACCUGGGGCAGAACAUAGCUACAGAAGCUAGUUUAAAGGGUCUUUAUAUAGGUUCCCGAGUAUGGUCUCCCUGUGGCUCUAUUCUUGAAGCCAGUUGACUUGUUCGCCCUCUGCGAACAUUCUUCAUGAGCACCUGAUCCCCCAAUUAAGCUUUCCACCUGCAGAGGCCAAGCUUCCAUCCCGCUCAAUUUCUCUCCCCAACCCUCUCCACAGCUGACAGUGUAUUCUGUGACCAGAGAAUGAACACAGCAGAUUCCAUCAAGAAUCUGAAUUUUGUGAGAAGCCCAGUAUUCUUGAGGUUACCAGGGCAACCUCUGAGGCUUGGAUGAAGGUGUUAGCAAUGUGUCACCAGGAGUGUUUCAUCUGAAUCAUCGCCUGUUGGACAGUCCUUUGUGGAUCAUAAUCCUCUCUGAUGCGGCUAUCAGCCAAAAUGGUGCUGUCAACAUUUAUGUCAACGCCGAGUGCUCAUCAUCUUUGUCAUUGUGCCUACCCUCCUGAACUCCACCUGGGAUCAUCAUCAGCAAAGCAACUGCAAAACUGGCUUUUCUCACACAGCCUUAUACAAGCAGUAAACAGUGGAUCUCAGGGGAUAACUCUGUGUCAUAUAAUUUACUGCCCAAUUUUGCUAACCCAUGAGGUUUAGCUGCUAGUCUUUUUCAGAGCUUCAAAUAAGCUUACAAGUUUGGGGCUAUUUAUCUAUAAUAAACUUUUAAAUAUUCAGCAUGAAAAAA
Long non-coding RNA from Rattus norvegicus (Norway rat), 1693 nucleotides. RefSeq lists it as uncharacterized. The record is from RefSeq and is a predicted model, not a curated record. Lineage: Eukaryota; Metazoa; Chordata; Mammalia; Rodentia; Muridae.